Phascolarctos cinereus (koala) is the source of this 3191-nucleotide long non-coding RNA. NCBI's taxonomy places the organism in Eukaryota, Metazoa, Chordata, Mammalia, Diprotodontia, Phascolarctidae. The record is from Ensembl.
AUGCGGGAGGUGCGGCGGGGCUGGCCCGGGGGCGGCGCCCGCGGGGGCUGUUACGGCUACCUGGGCCUGUGCUUUCUGUUGCUAGGAGGGGGCGGCGCGGACCUGUGCCUGGGUCCUGCGUGCGACGGCGGCGGAGGGGACGCCGAGCCUCCGCAGCCCAAAGCCCCGUGCCUGCAGCCGGGGGCAGCCCGCUGCCCGGGGAGAGCCGGCCGGCCGUCGCGCUCCUUCCUGCACAGCGCCUCGGCAGGCCGCAGCCAAGUCCAGGUCAAGCAGCCAGUGCAGCCGGCCCCGGCCCCAGGCUCCUCUUCUGCUUCCUGGGGCCAGCCCCGGGUCGCCGCCGCAGACCCCAAGCCGCAGGCGCUGGAGCGAGUCGCCGCCAGGGGCGCCCUGGAGCCGACGGCCCCGUGCGCCCCGGGAGCCGACUGUGCCGCCGCCGUCGGGGCUCCCAACGCCGGGGCUCCCAACGCCACGGACCCCGGCUCCCGGGACUGCAAGGGCCUAGAGUGCAGGCUGCCCCCGUUGAGGCUGGCGCGCCAGAAACACCGAGCCGGAGGCCGGGCCCCUGCCCUCCAGCAGCAGGGUGAAGGCUGCGCGGGCGCCAGGCCCGGGCUGGGACCGGGAGAGCCCACCCUGCUCCGGGUGACGGAGCGAGCCGCUCAGUUCAUCGGGGAGGUGUCCCCUGAGCUGGCCCACCCUGCCCCUGAGCUGGGGGGCGCAGGCCUUGGCGUGCAGCUCACCUGCGACAUCAGGCCAGGAGAAAAUGAGGUUCCUUCUGAAGAUGCACUUAUCCUACAACUGCAGCUUGCUAAAGGACAAGAAAAAUUUGUUGAGAUGCUAAAAAGCCAGCAGAAAGUAAUUGCUGAUUUGCAGCACAAACUCACUGAGCAACAGAACAUGUUGAUUAGCCAGCAAACAGAAAUCCUAGAACAACAGAAGAAAAUGUAUGAGCAAAUGAAUCUCAUUAAGGCCCAGUACAGCAUGCUUUUUGACACAGUGAAACAGAUGUCGUUCCAGAAUUUGCAGGAAGACAUCCAGCAUUACUUUCAAACUCAUCUUCAAGGACUUCAAAACCAGGUCAGAAAUCAUCUGCAGAAGUCAUACUCUGUGCAUAAGGUUGGAGUUGACGCAAAAAUGAUUGAUGCUGGAGAAACUUCACUGGACUGUGGCCUUUGUGCAAGUGAUGAAUUUUGCAAUUUCCAGAAGACACCCUCUCAGUGUGAAAAAUGCACUCUUUGCCCUGCUGGCUUUUUUCAAAUGGCUGAAUGUUCUGCAAACACUGACCGAAUCUGUCAGGACAGGGAUGAAUGCGUUGAAUCUCCGAAUAUUUGUGGUGAAAGAAUAAAAUGUCUGAACACCCCAGGUGGCUUCCGAUGUCUGGGCAUUGCGGAGAAGGAGGCCUCUCUAGGGUUUUGCGGGGAUGGUUAUUUCUUCAAUAGGGAAGUGCAAGAAUGCCAGGCUUGUCGGGAGUGUGAAGAUGGAAUGGUGGCUCUCCCCUGCUCUGCAAUCAUUGACACCGUUUGCUCCGCAGCCAGUGAAACCCAGCUCACCAAGUCUUGGGCUGCAGAUCUCCAGCUGCCCUCAGCAAAGUCUGCCUCUGUUCAGGUCUAUCCUGGCUUAAAUCUUAAGUUAAAAGGGAAGAUGAAAUUCGAUAUCGCCUUCGUUGAGGACAACAAGCUCGUCUUCAGGCAGCAUGGGUUACUCUGGGUUGACCUCAACUUCGCUGUGAAGCACAACUGUAGGAACUUUCUCCAGCUCUCCCUCAAGUCAAACAGCAGCGAGCAGGGGUCUGAGCUCAGCGGAGUUCGCAUCGAACAGCCAGAAGGAAAGUAUUUCCAGAGCGCGAGCUUAAGUAGUGCUGCCGAAGUGGAGCCAAGCCAGACCCUGGCCGUGUUCUUGAGAAGCCCGAAUCAGUUCUGCAACCAAAGCAAAGAUUUAAAUGUGUAUGACCUCCACAAAGCGCUCAGCUUGUUCUGGUUGUCCCAUGACACGGGGGCGGUGGCCAUGAGUGCACAGAUGUCCACAGCUAUGCAUUACCAGACCAGCUACCGCCCAACAUUUAAAAUUAAUUCUAUUUCUGACCCGUACAUGAUAAGCUUAUCUCACGAUGGAAGAGGGAUAAGGUUCACCGAAGCUGGUGUCAUUAAGUUUGUUUUCCUCCAGGCACUGUACUCCAUGGGUCACACUUGUGUUCGAGAAGGCUUUUCCUUGAUUUCCUACGUCGGCAGGAAUGGUACCAACGUAGAACUGAUGAACACGUUCAAAUCUGGAGUAAAUUACCGAGAUACUUCUCUGUCUGCCUCUGGGGCAACCAGAGUCCAGGCUGGAGAUCAGAUUAACUUUGAGAUUUUCUCGCCAGCCCAGUGUAGUGUUCGCUACUUUGGGGACAGCUUGGGCGUGAGUACAUUUAGCCUCAUCUGGAUCCCAUCUGCAGUUUCUACUGCUCUUUCAGCCACUGUUUCCACUACAGGCCUGCCUACUGGAGCUGUCAGGAACAAAUUUUUGGAUUUCAAACUUAUCACAUCCAAUGAGAAACAGAUACAGCUAGUUUCUUCUGGACAGUUUGCUCAGAGGUAUUUCAUUUUUACAGAGAAGGGAGUUGCCAAUGUUGCUUUUAACCUAAAGUUGAUCCAUUCAUGUAAUGUGAUCAAGGUUACCUUAAAUCAGUUGAUUCAGGAUCAGACACACCCAGCAGCAAUUGCGCAGCAAAUUGGAGGUCAGAUGCCAGAGGGAAGCAUGUGGACCAGUGUGAGCCUCUGUUCUUCUUUUGAAGUUCACAAUGGUACAAUGAUCUCCAUUUCUCUUGACUGUGUUCGGGGAAGGAUCAAUCAGAUUGCUCAUGAACGUGGAACGGGUAUAUCAAUUUUAUGGAUCUCAUCUUAACUUUUUUAGGGGAUAAGAAAAACUGAUGGGUAGCUCUGAAGGUACUCUGUGGAAAUAGUUUGUGAAAAUGCACAUGGUUUUAUAGAAAUAUCCUUAUUUCAAGAUGUUAGAUUAUAUAUACAAAGAGAAGACUUUCUUUAAAAAAAUUACCAACUUGCCUGUUAAUAUUUACUCCCUCUAAGAAAUGGAGUUAUAGACUCUUGGAUUCAAUUUGGGUUCUAGUUUUGACAGCAUAGUCCUAUUAAAUACAGGAUUUGUGUAAAGAUCAUGAGAAAGUUAAAUGAAUAAAAACAAUUUGCCACAGAAAUUCA